RNAcentral lists this ribosomal RNA (310 nucleotides) under uncultured Planctomycetota bacterium. Its description in RNAcentral is "bacterial SSU rRNA". It matches the Rfam family "Bacterial small subunit ribosomal RNA", at positions 29 to 351 of the family's 1533-position model. Lineage: Bacteria; Pseudomonadati; Planctomycetota. The record is from RNAcentral.
AAUGAACGUUGGCGGCAUGGAUUAGGCAUGCAAGUCGAGCGAGAAGUUCACCUUCGGGUGAGCGGAAAGCGGCGAAAGGGAGAGUAACGCGUAGUUACCUACCCCGAGGUCUGGAAUAGCCCGCCGAAAGGCGGGGUAAUGCCGGAUAAUAUCUACGGAUCAAAGGUGUGAUUCCGCCUCGGGAGGGGACUGCGUUGUACUAGCUAGUUGGUAGGGUAAUGGCCUACCAAGGCGAUGAUGCAUAGCGGGCGUGAGAGCGUGGCCCGUCUCACUGGGACUGAGACACUGCCCAGACACCUACGGGAGGCUG